GGUACACAUGCUUUUAAAUAAGAUCUCAUCUCUAAGUUAGAGUAAACUGUCAAGACUUAAAACUUACUUACUUUACCUUUCACCAUGGGACUUGUAACUGUCACUUCUGUCUUGAGUGGUUAAAAGAUAGAACAGUCUAGUCAAGUGCCACGUCUCUUAUUCUUGAUCAGCUAUAGCUCUGGAGUUUUUGUAGAUUUUCAAAUAAAACUCAGAGAUUCCUUGUAUGAUUCUCUCAUAUCUCUCUUUUGUGGUAUUUCUGGAUCCUUACCAAGGCAGUGAUGGUAUAUGCCUUCUCUCAAGAUAUGUAGUAUUUGUGGUUUGAAGCAUAGUGACAUUGCCUUCUCUCUCACCCUAUUCUAAUAAGGCUUUAAUAUCUGGAGCUCAUAGGUGGGAGAUAAAGUCUACAUACUUACAAGACAUUUAUUGUAUAGUCAAACCAUGGAUCCAAAGAAACAAGCCAAUAAGUCAAAUCAAGAUGUGCAUGUGUGGCGAAUGAAUGGUGUAUGGUGAUGAUGGUGAUGGUGGAAGUCUAAUUCUACUUUUGCUCUUUGAGGGGAUACAUACCUUCCUUGCUUUUUGAAACUUUAUGAGGAGAAUGAGAUGCUCUUCUUUUUCUUUUCUCUCAGGUGGGUAUCUUGUACCCCUAAUUCUACUGUCGGACACUUGUCCAUUUUUACCUCUCGUCUCACUCUUUCUUUUCUUUCGAGGUUCCGGGCACUUGCCCCUUUUUAUUUCCUCGUAUCUCUUUUUUUCUCCCUUUUUUUUAGAGCACUCAUCUCUUGAGAUAAUGUAGCAAGUGGUAGUAACAAGAUAACUUGAGCAUUUAUUUCACAGGGAAAAACAGAAAUAUUUUUGGUUAUUCUCUCCCGGAUUAGGAGUAGAAUAUUUUUGGGUGAUUCUGGAGAUGGAAAUGGAUGGAUAUAUGUGGAUGGUACUUUCGGAGUAGAAGUAGCAUAUAUGAGUGAACGUGCAAGUGAAUCUUGAUUUAACCACAUGACAAGCUCCUAAGGGUCUACACAGCUUGACCACACUCAAUGCUCAUAAGCAGUAAAUUGUAAAUGUGUGGCUCAAAGUCUAGCAAGCAUGUAUAUAUGGCUGUGGUAGGAAUUUAAACUCUCAUUAUACAGGAACUCAUCAUGUAAUAUUUUAAAGAUUUUUAAAGAUAAAAUUCUCCAGAAUUCUAGCAUCUCUAGGAACAGAUAAACAACAGCUCAACCUUUCCAUAUCGUAUCUGUUAACAACUUAGACUUCAGAUCAAGUUUUCAUCCCACAAGUUUAGGUUUAGAGCAAGCUUUAAAUUAUAACAGUUAUGUCUAAACUUGAGAGAGAACUUAAAAUGUGUUAAUUAGGCAAAGCAACUAUUCAUC
Molecule: long non-coding RNA, 1367 nt
Filed under: Sorghum bicolor (sorghum)
Lineage: Eukaryota; Viridiplantae; Streptophyta; Magnoliopsida; Poales; Poaceae
Description: long non-coding RNA (SBIC_LNC015714)
Source: RNAcentral